GGGUGAGUAACACGUGGGCAACCUGCCUGUAAGACUGGGAUAACUCCGGGAAACCGGGGCUAAUACCGGAUAACCCGUUUCACCUCAUGGUGGAGCGGUAAAAGAUGGCCUCUGGCUAUCACUUACAGAUGGGCCCGCGGCGCAUUAGCUAGUUGGUAAGGUAACGGCUUACCAAGGCGACGAUGCGUAGCCGACCUGAGAGGGUGAUCGGCCACACUGGGACUGAGACACGGCCCAGACUCCUACGGGAGGCAGCAGUAGGGAAUCUUCCGCAAUGGACGAAAGUCUGACGGAGCAACGCCGCGUGAGUGAUGAAGGUUUUCGGAUCGUAAAGCUCUGUUGUUAGGGAAGAACAAGUGCCGUUUGAAUAAGGCGGCACCUUGACGGUACCUAACCAGAAAGCCACGGCUAACUACGUGCCAGCAGCCGCGGUAAUACGUAGGUGGCAAGCGUUGUCCGGAAUUAUUGGGCGUAAAGCGCGCGCAGGCGGUCUCUUAAGUCUGAUGUGAAAGCCCACGGCUCAACCGUGGAGGGUCAUUGGAAACUGGGAGACUUGAGUACAGAAGAGGAGAGUGGAAUUCCACGUGUAGCGGUGAAAUGCGUAGAUAUGUGGAGGAACACCAGUGGCGAAGGCGACUCUCUGGUCUGUAACUGACGCUGAGGCGCGAAAGCGUGGGGAGCAAACAGGAUUAGAUACCCUGGUAGUCCACGCCGUAAACGAUGAGUGCUAGGUGUUAGGGGUUUCGAUGCCCUUAGUGCCGAAGUUAACACAUUAAGCACUCCGCCUGGGGAGUACGACCGCAAGGUUGAAACUCAAAGGAAUUGACGGGGGCCCGCACAAGCAGUGGA
This 849-nucleotide ribosomal RNA is filed under the name Alkalihalophilus pseudofirmus. RNAcentral's name for it is "bacterial SSU rRNA". It matches the Rfam family "Bacterial small subunit ribosomal RNA", at positions 104 to 936 of the family's 1533-position model. Lineage: Bacteria; Bacillati; Bacillota; Bacilli; Caryophanales; Bacillaceae. The record is from RNAcentral.